AUUGAACGCUGGCGGCAUGCCUUACACAUGCAAGUCGAACGGUAACAGGUUAAGCUGACGAGUGGCGAACGGGUGAGUAAUACAUCGGAACGUGCCCAGUAGUGGUGGAUAGCUCGGCGAAAGCCGGAUUAAUACCGCAUACGACCUAAGGGUGAAAGGGGGGGAUCGCAAGACCUCUCGCUAUUGGAGCGGCCGAUGUCAGAUUAGCUAGUUGGUGGGGUAAAAGCUCACCAAGGCGACGAUCUGUAGCUGGUCUGAGAGGACGACCAGCCACACUGGGACUGAGACACGGCCCAGACUCCUACGGGAGGCAGCAGUGGGGAAUUUUGGACAAUGGGCGCAAGCCUGAUCCAGCCAUGCCGCGUGCGGGAAGAAGGCCUUCGGGUUGUAAACCGCUUUUGUCAGGGAAGAAAACCUUUGGGUUAAUACCUCGGGGGGAUGACGGUACCUGAAGAAUAAGCACCGGCUAACUACGUG
This 477-nucleotide ribosomal RNA is filed under the name uncultured bacterium. RNAcentral describes it as "partial 16S ribosomal RNA". It matches the Rfam family "Bacterial small subunit ribosomal RNA", at positions 30 to 507 of the family's 1533-position model. The record is from RNAcentral.